Long non-coding RNA from Diceros bicornis minor, 1458 nucleotides. RefSeq lists it as uncharacterized. The record is from RefSeq and is a predicted model, not a curated record. The transcript has 3 exons. NCBI's taxonomy places the organism in Eukaryota, Metazoa, Chordata, Mammalia, Perissodactyla, Rhinocerotidae.
GAGUGAGGCUGAUGCCGGCUAAGUUGGGGAACCACUGGUUUAAGAAAAGCAUGGGUCCAAAGUACAUGCCGGGACCUUGCUACGAAUGGAGGAAAAAAACUGGCAACACCAGCAGAUUGCAUCUGUAAGCCGGUAGAAAGCCUAGAGGCUUGAUGGGAUUCCGGUUUGAUUUCGAGACAAGAACAUUCUGCAAGUGGGAAUUGGAGGAGGGAGAGAAGAUAAAGAGAACUCAAAAGGAUAAGAAACAGCCACUGCCCUAUGGGCUGAGACACAGCAUCCAAGGAGGAGCCCCCUUGUUGGAGAGGGCGCUGCUUGCUGGAUGGCAGAGUAGUUCACUGAGCCCCUAUUUCUAGGGUAACUGUGCACUAGGGACAGGAGAUACUCAGCAAAAGCAUCGAGAAGCCAUCGUGAGACCCUUCCAUACUCUCUCCUUCCCUGCUGCACUGACUAUGGAGGUCACAUACUGAAAUAUCAGAGCAUCUGUCAUCCUGGGUUCCUGAGUGACAUCAUGGAGUCCCUGGCCAAUCCAUGUUGGACAUAGAACAUGAGUGAAAAAUAAACCUCUGUUGUAGUAAUCCACUGUUAUUUAAGGUUAAUGUGUUACCGCAACAUAGCCUAGUCUAUCCUCACUGAUACAGUGGUCUGAACUUUGAGAAACAAUGCUGUACCUUUUUCCCUCAUUGUUUUCAUAAAAUCCUGCAUCUUAAAUCUUUAUAGUGUUUGCGUAGUGAUGUCACAUGGAGGGUGUAGGAUUCUACUUAUUGCAAAUAUGAAGCAAAGAAAAACACAUCCAAUCUGCUGCUGUCUACAACUAUGAGUCCCCCCGAAGGAAGCAGAAGCUACCAGAACUCAAAGCACAAGUAAGCACUAAGGGAACUCUUGCUCCUAUGUGAUCAAAUCUCCACUCAGCAGCCAGAACGGUCUUAAGUGUUCAGUGGAAACAGAAAUUAAGUCACGUCACUUCCCUGUUCCCAUCCCAAUGGCUUCCCAUCCCACUCAAAACAAAAUUCAAUUUCCUACCAAGAAGCAAAAAAUCCCACUAGGGCCCUAUGUUCUGGCCUCUGUCUUUUCUAUUUCAUUUCCUAUGGCUCUCUGCCUGCUUCAUGCCACUAUAGUCACCUGCUCUUCCUGCUACUCCUCUAAUAUACAAAGUUUAUUUCCACGUCACGGCCUUUGUAUUGGUUGAUCUUUUUGUCUGAACAGCUCUCCUUGGGAUCUUUGCAUAGUUUGCUCCCCGAUUGCAUUCAGGUCUCUGCUCUCAUGUCCCAUCCUCAGAGGAGCCUUUCUGACCCUCCUCUUGUUACUCUCUACCCCCUUACCCUGUUUAAUUUUUCUUCACACCAUUUAUUGUUAGUAUUAUAUGUUCAUGUAAUAUAUAUUUAUGUGCACUUGUUAAUUACUUUCAUUCGACUGUAAGCUCGGUGAGAAUAGGGCCUAUAUUGUACUUGUUCCUUGCUA